Molecule: ribosomal RNA, 227 nt
Filed under: uncultured bacterium
Lineage: Bacteria
Description: partial 16S ribosomal RNA
Rfam family: Bacterial small subunit ribosomal RNA
Source: RNAcentral
UGAGUAACACGUAUCCAACCUGCCGUCUACUCUUGGACAGCCUUCUGAAAGGAAGAUUAAUACAAGAUGGCAUCAUGAGUUCACAUGUUCACAUGAUUAAAGGUAUUCCGGGAGACGAUGGGGAUGCGUUCCAUUAGAUAGUAGGCGGGGUAACGGCCCACCUAGUCUUCGAUGGAUAGGGGUUCUGAGAGGAAGGUCCCCCACAUUGGAACUGAGACACGGUCCAA